This 88-nucleotide transfer RNA is filed under the name Alphaproteobacteria bacterium. Its description in RNAcentral is "tRNA-Leu". It matches the Rfam family "tRNA". Rfam says of the family: Transfer RNA (tRNA) molecules are approximately 80 nucleotides in length. Their secondary structure includes four short double-helical elements and three loops (D, anti-codon, and T loops). Lineage: Bacteria; Pseudomonadati; Pseudomonadota; Alphaproteobacteria. The record is from RNAcentral.
GCGGGCGUGGCGGAACUGGUAGACGCGCCAGGUUUAGGUCCUGGUGACUUAACAGGUCGUGGGGGUUCAAGUCCCUCCGCCCGCACCA